GCAGGAGCUUGCGGGUGAGUUAGAGAGACGGGAGCCUGAAGCAGCCUUGUCUGCACGUUACUCUGUGGAGGAAACCACCCGUGUAAAGGAGCAGGAAUUGCCAGACCAUCAGGACUCAGGGGAAUGAGACCCGGCCCCUCUGGUCUGGAAGGAGCUGCAGGACCCUGGGGAGGUCUCUAGCAGGCUGACCUCACUUGGGAUAAAGCAGUCAGAAGCUUAUAUGAGGAUGGAGAGCAUCAGGAAAAUGCCAGCAUAAACCAUGAUCCUGAGAGUUCUCAAGAAACCAACCUCAUGUGCUAUGUUUGUGGUCUAACUUCAUGAGAGGAUACAGGGUGGGCUGAUUCAGCAGGUGGGAGGCUGCUCACUCUUGCCUCUCCCUGCACUGAAGGCUUCACCUUCCCAAGUGAUAUCCAACCCUGCUCAUCACCCUGCCUGACAAGAAAGAUCCCUCUACUGCACAGUGGCCUUAAUCCUUGGACACAGCCAAUGCCACAGUCAUAAUAGUGUGUGACAUAAGGAUACCUGCAUGUGCUGAGGACAUAGCACCUUCCAGGACUUUGAAGCCUGUGGAUAAAAAGAAGACUACUAGAUGCAUGGCCCAUGACCUUAAGGACUUCGUGGCUUUCUGCACCUUCACAAUACAGAAUACCAAGUACCUCAGAGCACAUGGAAAUAGCCCCAGGGGAAAGCAGGCAGAAAGGGAGGGUUUUUAGCAGGUGAUACCUGAGUUAUCUUGGGAAGUGAGGCUGGGAUCUAGUUGGAAGACUCAUAGGUUCAUUGCAGGAAGAGCAAGGACCAAACUAGGGUAGCGCAGUACUGCUGGAGUGGAGCUGGCACCGCCAUAUGAAGGAGCGAGAUGUAAUAAUCCAAUGGUAAGAAGGGCGGGAGGGGGAAAUGGCGGGAUGCAGAAAGGAUUCAACCAGAUUCAACAAGUGGUGUGCUUGUGAACUAGCUCCUGGAAGAAGAAGUCCUGAUUAUUAACAGUUACCAUGUCUGUGGUCUAAAUGCUCUCACUGGGUUCAGAGCUGGGAAGAUUCACAGAAUCAGCUCACCCAAUUGAUAGGAGCCCCCUGCAGCUUGCCAUGGAACGGACUGCUUCCCUGGUUAGAAAGAAAGCUCACUUCCUCUUUUUGGGCACCUUUCCUGGCCUUCUGUGCAGUUAGGUGGGUCCACGUGACUGAGUUAUAACCAAGAGAAUAAGAAUUCCCAGAAUAAGGGGCGCCUGGGUGAGUCCGUUAU
This is a long non-coding RNA of Suricata suricatta (meerkat), 1239 nucleotides long. RefSeq lists it as uncharacterized. The record is from RefSeq and is a predicted model, not a curated record. The transcript is spliced from 4 exons. NCBI's taxonomy places the organism in Eukaryota, Metazoa, Chordata, Mammalia, Carnivora, Herpestidae.